This is a long non-coding RNA of Clarias gariepinus (North African catfish), 528 nucleotides long. RefSeq lists it as uncharacterized. NCBI's taxonomy places the organism in Eukaryota, Metazoa, Chordata, Actinopteri, Siluriformes, Clariidae. The record is from RefSeq and is a predicted model, not a curated record. The transcript has 3 exons.
GUUAAACCCUUUUGCCAAUUAAAGUUUUCAAAUUUCAUUAACAUGGAAAUUUAUAAAUUCAGGAAGGAUUCAAAUUAUAUUGGGACGUAUGCCAGCCUUGAGUUUAGUGCCAAUGACACCAUUCCAUCUAAUUCGUCAAUUACAAGCACUCUUUAUAAUGCCACAAAAAACCAAACCAAAUGGAAGAUUAUAAAAGGUUCUGUAAAAGUCAUCUAGAUUUCAGAGACAAGUACAACUUCAAGUCUGGACACAAAACUUCUCUAUUAGACUUCAGCAUGAGUGCUAGCUCUGAUGGAACAAUGGCCAAUACCAGCUCUCCACGGGAUGUGCACAUGUAUACUGUGUAAUUAAUAUGGAAUACAUUUGCAUAAUAUUUAUCUGACAAAAUACGGAUGAUUCAUAACAUUUCUAAUUUAAGGCAUGGUAGCACAUAGUGUGUAGCACAGAAAAUAUGACUUGUCCAGAAUCUUACAUUAUAUAUAACUGGUGAUGGUUUUUGCUAUGAUUUGUCUGGAAUUUUACAUUAUA